GCCGGUGUAGCUCAAUUGGUAGAGCACCUGACUUGUAAUCAGGGGUUGUGGGUUCAAGUCCUAUCGCCGGCACCA
Molecule: transfer RNA, 75 nt
Filed under: Brevibacillus laterosporus
Lineage: Bacteria; Bacillati; Bacillota; Bacilli; Caryophanales; Paenibacillaceae
Description: tRNA-Thr
Rfam family: tRNA
About the family: Transfer RNA (tRNA) molecules are approximately 80 nucleotides in length. Their secondary structure includes four short double-helical elements and three loops (D, anti-codon, and T loops).
Source: RNAcentral